GACGAACGCUGGCGGCGUGCUUAACACAUGCAAGUCGAACGGAAAGGCCCCUUUGGGGGUCCUCGGGUGGCGAACGGGUGAGUAACACGUGAGUAACCUGCCCUUGACUUCGGGAUAACGUCGGUAAACUGGGGCUAAUACCGGGGAGGAAUCCUUUCUCCAUGGUGGGGGUUGGAAAGCUUCGGUUGUUUUGGGUUGGCUUGCGGCUUAUCAGCUUGGUCGAGGUGUAGUGGGUUAGCAAGGCUUUGACGGCUAGCCGGCCUGAGAGGGCGACCGGCCACAGUGGGACUGGGACUCGGCCACGACUCCGACGGGUGGCGGCAGCGGCGAUGAGUGAAAAAGGGGCGGAAGCGUGAUGCAGCACCGCCGCGGCCGCGAGGACGGCGUUCGCGUUGUAGACGGAAUUCAGCAGGGGCGAAGAUUGUGGUGACGGUACCUGCAGAAGAAGCACCGGCUAACUACGUG
This 465-nucleotide ribosomal RNA is filed under the name uncultured bacterium. Its description in RNAcentral is "partial 16S ribosomal RNA". It matches the Rfam family "Bacterial small subunit ribosomal RNA", at positions 28 to 507 of the family's 1533-position model. The record is from RNAcentral.